Molecule: unclassified non-coding RNA, 296 nt
Filed under: plant metagenome
Description: partial contains small subunit ribosomal RNA, internal transcribed spacer 1, and 5.8S ribosomal RNA
Source: RNAcentral
UUUCCGUAGGUGAACCUGCGGAAGGAUCAUUACCAGUGCCGCCGGCGCCCGCCCCGACCUCCGGGUCAGAGUGCGCGCCGGUCCGAGCCCCACCCGUGAACACUGAACCUCACGUUGCCUUGGCGGGCCCGCUGCACGCCAGCCGCCGGGGGAUCCCUGCCGGUGCGCUCACCCGCGCCGCGCACAUCCCCGGGCCUGCGCCCGCCAAUGGACCCAAGUGAGCUUCUGAUGGAACAAGAACGUCUGAGUAAUUUGUUAAAUAAACAAAACUUUCAACAACGGAUCUCUUGGUUCCG